ACUCAAAUGAAUUGACGGGGGUCCGCACAAGCGGUGGAACAUGUGGUUUAAUUCGACACUACGCGAGAAACCUUACCUAGGUUUGACAUACAUAUGACAGCCUCAGAGAUGAGGUCUUUUAGGGGAAACCCUAAACAUAUGAACAGGUGCUGCAUGGCUGUCGUCAGCUCGUGUCGUGAGAUGUUGGGUUAAGUCCUAUAACGAGCGCAACCCUUGCCAUCAGUUGCAAUUUCGUAAGAAAGCACUCUGGUGGGACUGCCUGGGAAACCAGGAGGAAGGUGGGGAUGAUGUCAAGUCCGCAUGGUCCUUAUGCCUAGGGCAACACACGUGUUACAAUGGCCAAUACAAAGGGCUGCAAACUCGCAAGAGGAAGCUAAUCCCAGAAAGUUGGUCUAAGUUCAGAUUGAGGUCUGCAACUCGACCUCAUGAAGUUGAAAUCGCUAGUAAUCGCAUAUCAGAACGAUGCGGUGAAUACGUUCUCGGACCUUGUACACACCGCCCGU
Molecule: ribosomal RNA, 503 nt
Filed under: uncultured bacterium
Lineage: Bacteria
Description: partial 16S ribosomal RNA
Rfam family: Bacterial small subunit ribosomal RNA
Source: RNAcentral